AAAAUGGAGGGUAGGGAUUCCGUUUAGAAUAUCCAUCCUUUCUCUUUUUAAUCCAACGGUCCAGGGUCCUGCCUUACGAAAUAGAUCCAAAGGCUAGGAAUAAAAGGUGCCGAAUUUGUCAUCUGCUUUUGAUCUAAGGGCUCCAUAUCCAUCCUUACAAUUGUAAUCAAUGGUGGAGAUCGAGAUGUACAGGGCUGCUUUAAUUGCUUUGGCGUCUGGCAGCUAGGAGGGCAUCCUUGCAAAUGAGAUUCAUGGUGAGGAUCUGAUCAUGCCUGCAAAUGCUUUAACUAACUCGGAUCUGACGAUGAAGAGAGUUAAUUGAAAGUUAUUUAACCCCUUUGCGUUCUCCGAUCUCUAUAGGUCGUCUCCUGUUUCUUCCGAUCUUCCCAUUAUGACCAUCCCCUUUUGGGAUCAUUAUUCCAAUCUCUAUCUCUUGCAUUGGGUCCCCUCUUAUUUCUCGAUCUCUCUCAUUCUUGAUCUUUCCUCUCUAACUUGCAUUGAUUAUUUUUCCGAUCUUUGAUAAGUGUACUCGAUCUGAUCCCUAGACGAAUCGUCAUUCGUCGAUAUUCAGUGACCUUAAUUGAUCGAUCUCAUUUAUUUGAUUUUUUA
This 609-nucleotide unclassified non-coding RNA is filed under the name Hevea brasiliensis (rubber tree). The record is from RNAcentral. Lineage: Eukaryota; Viridiplantae; Streptophyta; Magnoliopsida; Malpighiales; Euphorbiaceae.